RNAcentral lists this ribosomal RNA (394 nucleotides) under uncultured bacterium. RNAcentral describes it as "bacterial SSU rRNA". It matches the Rfam family "Bacterial small subunit ribosomal RNA", at positions 975 to 1374 of the family's 1533-position model. The record is from RNAcentral.
CAAGUCUUGACAUACCGUGCAAAACCCUGGAGACAGGGGAAUAGUUAUGGCGGAUACAGGUGGUGCAUGGUUGUCGUCAGCUCGUGUCGUGAGAUGUUGGGUUAAGUCCCGCAACGAGCGCAACCCUUGCCUUUAGUUACCAGCAUUCAGUUGGGGACUCUAGAGGGACUGCCGGUGACAAACCGGAGGAAGGUGGGGAUGACGUCAAAUCAUCAUGCCCCUUAUGACUUGGGCUACACACGUACUACAAUGGCGUAUACAGAGAGACGCGAAAUGGCGACAUGGAGCAAACCUCACAAAGUACGUCUCAGUUCAGAUUGAAGUCUGCAACUCGACUUCAUGAAGGCGGAAUCGCUAGUAAUCGCGGAUCAGCAUGCCGCGGUGAAUACGUUCU